AAUUACAGAAAAAAAAAAAUGGAAACUAAACUGUUGUAUAAAUUUAUAGUUUUAUACAAACCUUAAAGCAAGCACCGCAACCAGCUCCCUCUUUGUAAAGAGAAGGAACACCAGCUGCAAGGUGUCCGCCACUUAAGCCUAAUGCCA
Hibiscus syriacus is the source of this 147-nucleotide long non-coding RNA. RefSeq lists it as uncharacterized. Lineage: Eukaryota; Viridiplantae; Streptophyta; Magnoliopsida; Malvales; Malvaceae. The record is from RefSeq and is a predicted model, not a curated record. The transcript is spliced from 3 exons.